Molecule: ribosomal RNA, 407 nt
Filed under: Daboia russelii (Russell's viper)
Lineage: Eukaryota; Metazoa; Chordata; Lepidosauria; Squamata; Viperidae
Description: partial 16S ribosomal RNA
Rfam family: Bacterial large subunit ribosomal RNA
Source: RNAcentral
UGUCUAUUAAUUGUAGACUCGUAUGAAUGGCAAAAUGAGAGCCCGACUGUCUCUUAUAACAAAUCAAUUAAACUGAUCUCUCAGUACAAAAGCUGAGAUUCUCACAUAAGACCAGAAGACCCUGUGAAGCUUUAACUAAACUAUUAAACCCCUUAAUAACUAUUUUUGGUUGGGGCGACCUUGGAACAAAAAAGAACUUCCAAAUACAUGACCUUCUCACACCAAGGCAAACAAGCCACAUUUAGACCCAGAACUUUCUGAUAAAUGAACCAAGUUACUCCAGGGAUAACAGCGCUAUCUUCUUCAAGAGCCCAUAUCAAAAAGAAGGUUUACGACCUCGAUGUUGGAUCAGGACAUCCUAGCAAUGCAACCGUUACUAAGGGUUCGUUUGUUCAACGAUUAAUAGU